Molecule: ribosomal RNA, 1859 nt
Filed under: Burkholderiales bacterium PBB3
Lineage: Bacteria; Pseudomonadati; Pseudomonadota; Betaproteobacteria; Burkholderiales
Description: bacterial LSU rRNA
Rfam family: Bacterial large subunit ribosomal RNA
Source: RNAcentral
AGGCUAAAACAGUCAGGAUGUUGGCUUAGAAGCAGCCAUCAUUUAAAGAAAGCGUAAUAGCUCACUGAUCGAGUCGUCCUGCGCGGAAGAUGUAACGGGGCUAAGCCAGUUACCGAAGCUGCGGAUUUGCAAUUUAUUGCAAGUGGUAGGAGAGCGUUCUGUAGGCCUGUGAAGGUGGUGGUGUAAACCCUGCUGGAGGUAUCAGAAGUGCGAAUGCUGACAUGAGUAGCGUUAAAGGGGGUGAAAAGCCCCCUCGCCGUAAGCGCAAGGUUUUCUACGCAACGUUCAUCGGCGUAGAGUGAGUCGGCCCCUAAGGCGAGGCAGAGAUGCGUAGCUGAUGGGAAACAGGUCAAUAUUCCUGUACCGAUGACAAGUGCGAUGUGGGGACGGAGAAGGUUAGCUCAGCCAACUGUUGGAUAUGUUGGUUCAAGCCUGUAGUCGUGCUCGGUAGGCAAAUCCGCCGGGCUUAGAUGAGGGGUGAUAACGAGGGUGCUUGCACCUGAAGUGAGUGAUACCCUGCUUCCAGGAAAAGCCACUAAGCUUCAGCUUGUCAUUGACCGUACCGCAAACCGACACUGGUGCGCGAGAUGAGUAUUCUAAGGCGCUUGAGAGAACUCAGGAGAAGGAACUCGGCAAAUUGAUACCGUAACUUCGGGAGAAGGUAUGCCCCAAGUAGGUGAACUCGAACAGAGGGAGCCCAACGGGGUUGCAAAAAAUCGGUGGCUGCGACUGUUUAAUAAAAACACAGCACUCUGCAAACACGAAAGUGGACGUAUAGGGUGUGACGCCUGCCCGGUGCUGGAAGAUUAAAUGAUGGGGUGCAAGCUCUUGAUUGAAGUCCCAGUAAACGGCGGCCGUAACUAUAACGGUCCUAAGGUAGCGAAAUUCCUUGUCGGGUAAGUUCCGACCUGCACGAAUGGCGUAACGAUGGCCACACUGUCUCCUCCUGAGACUCAGCGAAGUUGAAAUGUUUGUGAUGAUGCAAUCUCCCCGCGGAAAGACGGAAAGACCCCAUGAACCUUUACUGUAGCUUUGUAUUGGACUUUGAACAGAUCUGUGUAGGAUAGGUGGGAGGCUUUGAAGCUGGAACGCUAGUUUCAGUGGAGCCGACGUUGAAAUACCACCCUGGUGUGUUUGAGGUUCUAACCUAGGUCCAUUAUCUGGAUCGGGGACAGUGCAUGGUAGGCAGUUUGACUGGGGCGGUCUCCUCCCAAAGCGUAACGGAGGAGUUCGAAGGUACGCUAGUUACGGUCGGACAUCGUGACGAUAGUGCAAUGGCAUAAGCGUGCUUAACUGCGAGACUGACAAGUCGAGCAGAUGCGAAAGCAGGACAUAGUGAUCCGGUGGUUCUGUAUGGAAGGGCCAUCGCUCAACGGAUAAAAGGUACUCUGGGGAUAACAGGCUGAUACCGCCCAAGAGUUCAUAUCGACGGCGGUGUUUGGCACCUCGAUGUCGGCUCAUCUCAUCCUGGGGCUGUAGCCGGUCCCAAGGGUAUGGCUGUUCGCCAUUUAAAGAGGUACGUGAGCUGGGUUUAAAACGUCGUGAGACAGUUUGGUCCCUAUCUUCCGUGGGCGCUGCAGAUUUGAGGAAGCCUGCUCCUAGUACGAGAGGACCGGAGUGGACACACCUCUGGUGUAUCGGUUGUCACGCCAGUGGCAUUGCCGAGUAGCUAAGUGUGGAAGAGAUAACCGCUGAAAGCAUCUAAGCGGGAAACUCGUUUCAAGAUGAGAUCUGCCGGGGCCUUGAGCCCCCUAAAGAGUCGUUCAAGACCAGGACGUUGAUAGGUCAGGUGUGGAAGCGCAGUAAUGCGUUAAGCUAACUGAUACUAAUUGCUCGUGCGGCUUGACCCUAUAACUUUG